UGCAGUCGAGCGGAUGAAGGGAGCUUGCUCCUGGAUUCAGCGGCGGACGGGUGAGUAAUGCCUAGGAAUCUGCCUGGUAGUGGGGGAUAACGUCCGGAAACGGGCGCUAAUACCGCAUACGUCCUGAGGGAGAAAGUGGGGGAUCUUCGGACCUCACGCUAUCAGAUGAGCCUAGGUCGGAUUAGCUAGUUGGUGGGGUAAAGGCCUACCAAGGCGACGAUCCGUAACUGGUCUGAGAGGAUGAUCAGUCACACUGGAACUGAGACACGGUCCAGACUCCUACGGGAGGCAGCAGUGGGGAAUAUUGGACAAUGGGCGAAAGCCUGAUCCAGCCAUGCCGCGUGUGUGAAGAAGGUCUUCGGAUUGUAAAGCACUUUAAGUUGGGAGGAAGGGCAGUAAGUUAAUACCUUGCUGUUUUGACGUUACCAACAGAAUAAGCACCGGCUAACUUCGUGCCAGCAGCCGCGGUAAUACGAAGGGUGCAAGCGUUAAUCGGAAUUACUGGGCGUAAAGCGCGCGUAGGUGGUUCAGCAAGUUGGAUGUGAAAUCCCCGGGCUCAACCUGGGAACUGCAUCCAAAACUACUGAGCUAGAGUACGGUAGAGGGUGGUGGAAUUUCCUGUGUAGCGGUGAAAUGCGUAGAUAUAGGAAGGAACACCAGUGGCGAAGGCGACCACCUGGACUGAUACUGACACUGAGGUGCGAAAGCGUGGGGAGCAAACAGGAUUAGAUACCCUGGUAGUCCACGCCGUAAACGAUGUCGACUAGCCGUUGGGAUCCUUGAGAUCUUAGUGGCGCAGCUAACGCGAUAAGUCGACCGCCUGGGGAGUACGGCCGCAAGGUUAAAACUCAAAUGAAUUGACGGGGGCCCGCACAAGCGGUGGA
RNAcentral lists this ribosomal RNA (884 nucleotides) under Pseudomonas aeruginosa. RNAcentral's name for it is "bacterial SSU rRNA". It matches the Rfam family "Bacterial small subunit ribosomal RNA", at positions 56 to 936 of the family's 1533-position model. Lineage: Bacteria; Pseudomonadati; Pseudomonadota; Gammaproteobacteria; Pseudomonadales; Pseudomonadaceae. The record is from RNAcentral.